AUGAAGGAGGUCAAGUCACAGGGUGAAAGUCAUGGUAUCUGUGGCAGACACGGAGAUGCAACCUCAGAUCUCCAAGAAAAGAUCGGUUGGUUACCCAGCUUCGAGGAGGAAACUCCCCUAGGUCUGGCACUGCUUUUGAGCCAUGGUACUCUUCUUGGGUGGCCCUCAAACAAUGAGCAAAAUACUGGUACAAGGCAGGGCCAUCUCCUCCCAACAUGGGACCACUCUAUGGGCGGUCUUUGUGGCAGAGCUCCUGGUUGGUCUGUGGGGGCUUUCUCAGAGCAAUGCUGUGCUCUAGGAGUCCACCUUUUUAAUCCUCCCUUCUCCCCAUCUUGUCCUGCUAGUCUCAGCCCCGCAGCAUGGUCUGAAGGCUCUCCCUGUCAACUCCUGCUUUUUUCCACUUUGCCAUUUGCAGUUGCUCACAAUAAAUCUCUUGCUCUUUUACCUUCUUCUUGGCAUCUGCUUCCUGGAGGACUCAAACAACUCAGUUCCUGGUCAGCAGAGCUGUGAUGGUAUAUGGCCAAAUGUGAAUGUAAUUUGUCAAAGAACAGGAGCAGCAUCAUCAAAAAAAAAUCAAGUGUCUGUUGGGGUGACAAUAAACUCAGCAGCAAAGAUGAUGGUAAGCCUUUUACAAUUACAGUGUCUGGAGAUAGCAGCAUGGAGCGCUAAUGUCAAGACAAUUGAAAAGUCAUCCCCUUUCAAGCAGUAAGACUUUCAAAAUCUUUAGUGAUUAUGGGUGGCUAUCAUUCCAAAGGCUUAAGCACAAUUCUGUUAUUUUAAACACAAUACCUCAAAUCUGAAUUAUUUAAAAAUAAAACUUCAGGAC
Pan paniscus (pygmy chimpanzee) is the source of this 826-nucleotide long non-coding RNA. The record is from Ensembl. NCBI's taxonomy places the organism in Eukaryota, Metazoa, Chordata, Mammalia, Primates, Hominidae.